This 1509-nucleotide ribosomal RNA is filed under the name Triticum aestivum (bread wheat). RNAcentral's name for it is "partial small subunit ribosomal RNA". The record is from RNAcentral. Lineage: Eukaryota; Viridiplantae; Streptophyta; Magnoliopsida; Poales; Poaceae.
AUGCUCUGCCUCUCGCCGCGCGCGCCGUGCCUCCCCGGUCCACACGCAAAGGCCCCGCCCUCCGCCGGCGCCGGCGACAAUGCCCACCGCCUGACGCUCCGCGCGGCGCCGCGGCGAUGGCGGCUCGCGAGGCACCGCGGCUGCUCGGCCGCCGCGCCCGUGCCCGUGCCGGCGCCGCGGACGACCGCGGAGCGGUGGGGGUCCCUGCGGGAGAUGCGGCGGGUGUGGUGGGUGUGCGGGGCCGGGUACUGGGUGCAGGGGUUCCGGUGCUUCCCGUGGCUGGCGCUCAACUUCCACCUCACCCGCGGGCUCGGGCUCAGCCCCGUCGCGCUGCAGCUGGUGCAGAACGCCGGCAGCCUCCCGCUGGUCGCCAAGCCGCUCUUCGGCGUCCUCUCCGACGCCGUCUACAUCGGCCGCGAGCACCGCCUCCCCUACAUCUCCAUCGGAGCAUUACUACAGCUUACUGCUUGGGGAACACUUGCGAUCAUGCCAGUUACGGGCGACACAUUUCCAACUCACAUGAUAUGCAUUCUGAUUGGAAAUCUUGGAGCAUCCGUGACGGAAGUUGUAAGCGAUGCGGUUGUCACGGAGUUCAGCAGAACACAGAGGACCGGCGUACUACAGUCUUAUGCAUUCAUAGGUCUGGCAGCUGGAGCCCUCCUAGGAAACUUGUCGGGUGGAUACGUUCUGUUGAGAACGCAGGAACCAAAGAUUAUGUUCACAGCAUUCUCUGUCCUCCUUGGCCUCCAACUAGCACUCUCCAUAGGCACAAAGGAAACACUGCCAAGCUCCCAUGGAAACUCCAGAAGCCUUCUUGUCAAAAGCUCUUUGUGGGCCAAUCUUCGCAAGCAAUUCUCAAACCUGAUGACAGCGGUCCGCGAGGAAAGGAUAUUCUACCCACUUGCAUGGAUCAUGACCUCGUUUGCUGUCGUGCCUGUUCUCUCUGGAACCAUGUUCUGCUUUCAAACACAGCAUCUGAAGCUCGAUUCAUCGAUCAUCGGUCUUUCCAAGGUCAUGGGACAGGUCAUGGUCGUCUCUCUAACCGUCCUCUACAACCGCUAUCUCAAAAGGAUUCCCUUGAGGCGACUCGUGUGCGGAGUUCAGAUAAUGUAUGCUUUCGCGGUGCUGUCGGAACUGAUCCUGGUGAAGCAAGUGAACCUUAUGUUGGGGAUACCAAAUGAGGUAUAUGUGCUUUGUUUCUCGGCUCUCGCCGAAGCGAUCGCGCAGUUCAAGGUCCUGCCGUUCUCGAUCUUGUUGUCAAGCCUCUGCCCCCCUGGCUGCGAAGGUUCGCUCUUCGCCUUCUUCACCUCUGGAUUGGUCUUUUCGGCAAUUCUAAGUGGUGUGUUUGGGGUUGGACUGUCUGCCCUGAUUGGGCUGUCCUCUGGGGGCUACUCAAGCUUGCCUCUGGGUAUUCUGCUGCAAAGUUUGGCCGCAUUGUUACCUUUGGCGUGGCUGUCUUUUGUGCCUGAAAACUGGACUGCCGACGGGAAGAUUGUAAAGCAAAGAUAA